RNAcentral lists this non-coding RNA (926 nucleotides) under Phyllobates aurotaenia. RNAcentral's name for it is "12S ribosomal RNA". It matches the Rfam family "Bacterial small subunit ribosomal RNA". Lineage: Eukaryota; Metazoa; Chordata; Amphibia; Anura; Dendrobatidae. The record is from RNAcentral.
AAGGUUUGGUCCUAGCCUUGGAGUCAAUUCUUAUUUAAUAUACACAUGCAAGUAUCCGCACCCCAGUGAGAAUGCCCUUAUUUCCCCUCUAGGGAACAGGAGCUGGUAUCAGGCCCAAUAAUUUGCCCAAAACACCUAGUCUCGCCACACCCUCAAGGGUCUUCAGCAGUGAUAAACAUUGAGCAUGAGCGAUAGCUUGACUCAGUUAAACUUAUUUAGAGCCGGCCAAUCUGGUGCCAGCCGCCGCGGUUACACCAUCGUGGCUCAAAUUGACCCCCUUCGGCGUAAAGCGUGAUUAAAGUUUUCCAAACAACUGGAAUUCAACUAAAACUAAGCCGUGACACGCUUGUUUUUAAGAAAGCCAUAAACGAAAGUUAUUCCAAUUAAUUCAACUUGAACUCACGUCAUCUGAGAAACAAACUGGGAUUAGAUACCCCACUAUGCUCAGUCGUAAACUUUAACUUACUUCCUUCUCGCCAGGGAACUACGAGCUAAGCUUAAAACCCAAAGGACUUGACGGUACCCCAUAUCCCCCUAGAGGAGCCUGUCCUAUAAUCGAUAACCCCCGUUUAACCUCACCAUUUUUAGUUAUUCAGCCUGUAUACCUCCGUCGUCAGCUUACCACGUGAGCGUUAGUGAGCCAAAUGUUUUUUCAACCACACGUCAGGUCAAGGUGCAACAAAUGAAAUGGGAAGAGAUGGGCUACAUUUUCUAUAUUAGACUACACGAAAGACUUUAUGAAACCUAGUCAGAAGGCGGAUUUAGUAGUAAACUGGAACUAGAGAGUCCUUUUUAACCUGGCACUGGGGUGUGUACACACCGCCCGUCACCCUCCUCAAUGCUAACAAACAGUUUUUAACACCUUUAAGCAACAUAGAAGAGGCAAGUCGUAACAUGGUAAGUAUACCGGAAGGUGUACUUGGAAA